Long non-coding RNA from Poecilia latipinna (sailfin molly), 561 nucleotides. RefSeq lists it as uncharacterized. The record is from RefSeq and is a predicted model, not a curated record. Lineage: Eukaryota; Metazoa; Chordata; Actinopteri; Cyprinodontiformes; Poeciliidae. The transcript is spliced from 3 exons.
AUACAAAGCGCGGAUGUUUUGAAAUAUGUCAACCACUAUAGAGGUGGCAGUGAAAAGAUAAACGGCGCCAGAGGUGGUGAAAUCUAAAUGCAAUUACUUGGAGAGUGAAUGGGAAUAGUCUUGACUCAGCCUGUUUACCAGAUGCGAAGGUGUGGAUGGUUGGUGAAGUGACAGAGAAAAAGGAGAAAUGAACUCUAUACACCUAAUAUCUAAAAGAAUAUGGGAAGGUGCGCCAUUCACAGAAAGUAGACAUUAAAGAUGGAUAUGGAAGUUCAGGGCUGCACACACUCUGCUAAGAAUGAGAUUAUGGAGAGAAAUUUGAUUUGCUCUUUCAUCUCUAUCUGAGCUUCGUGCUCAGAGAGAUGUGGGUUUAUGAAUGUGCUAUAACAACAUACCCAGCACACCAAUACUUGAUUCCUCGCUGCAGUGCAGACUGUGAUUCAGAAGGGUGUAGUUCAGAUGUCUUAAAAGGGGCGAAGUGGGGAGAUUUUAAUCGACAGUCAGUCAGACAGCAGAGGCAACAACCUCAGCUAUGAAUUUCGGAAAAACUUUCUUGUCAGG